UACGAAGGGGGCUAGCGUUGCUCGGAAUCACUGGGCGUAAAGCGCACGUAGGCGGGUUGCUAAGUCAGGGGUGAAAUCCUGGAGCUCAACUCCAGAACUGCCUUUGAUACUGGCGACCUUGAGUCCGGGAGAGGUGAGUGGAACUGCGAGUGUAGAGGUGAAAUUCGUAGAUAUUCGCAAGAACACCAGUGGCGAAGGCGGCGCACUGGACCACAACUGACGCUGAGGCGCGAAAGCUAGGGGAGCAAACAGG
Molecule: ribosomal RNA, 253 nt
Filed under: uncultured bacterium
Lineage: Bacteria
Description: partial 16S ribosomal RNA
Rfam family: Bacterial small subunit ribosomal RNA
Source: RNAcentral